AGCAGGCGCGUAAAUUACCCAAUCCUGAUACAGGGAGGUAGUGACAAUAAAUAACAAUGCCGGGCCAUCAUUGGUCUGGCAAUUGGAAUGAGAACAAUUUAAAUCCCUUAUCGAGGAUCAAUUGGAGGGCAAGUCUGGUGCCAGCAGCCGCGGUAAUUCCAGCUCCAAUAGCGUAUAUUAAAGUUGUUGCAGUUAAAAAGCUCGUAGUUGGAUUUGUGGCGUACGGUGUGUUCCGGGCACUUGUUGUCUGAGUAACCUGCUGUUGCCAUCCUUGGGUCGAACCUGUGUGGCAUUAGGUUGUCGUGCAGGGGAUGCCCAUCAUUUACUGUGAAAAAAUUAGAGUGUUCAAAGCAGGCUUAUGCCGUUGAAUAUAUUAGCAUGGAAUAAUGAGAUAGGACUUUUUUGCUAUUUUGUUGGUUUGCGCAAAGAGGUAAUGAUUAAUAGGGACAGUUGGGGGUAUUCGUAUUCCAUUGUCAGAGGUGAAAUUCUUGGAUUUUUGGAAGACGAACUACUGCGAAAGCAUUUACCAAGGAUGUUUUCAUUAAUCAAGAACGAAAGUUAGGGGAUCGAAGAUGAUUAGAUACCAUCGUAGUCUUAACCAUAAACUAUGCCGACAAGGGAUUGGUGGAGUCUCGUUAUGUCUCCAUCAGCACCUUAUGAGAAAUCACAAGUCUUUGGGUUCCGGGGGGAGUAUGGUCG
Molecule: ribosomal RNA, 699 nt
Filed under: Navicula cf. antonii
Lineage: Eukaryota; Bacillariophyta; Bacillariophyceae; Naviculales; Naviculaceae
Description: SSU rRNA
Rfam family: Eukaryotic small subunit ribosomal RNA
Source: RNAcentral